UAGGCACACCUGGCAUUGGGAUUAUAACGAGGAGAAGUAGUGUUGGGUUUUGCAGGAGGAUCUCUGAGGGUAAUUAAAUUUGCUUUUAGCAUACCCUGCAGUGCUUGUGCUAAAGUCAUAUUGAUCUUCGUAAACUGCCUCCUUCCCGGGUUAAUGUGUCUCACAGAUUUCUUGUCUUUUUUCUUCUCGAGCAAGAGAGCCUUCAGUUCCUUCUGCCCCCUGGAUAAGUUCAAGAUUAUCUUCUGGAGUUGAGCAUUCUGAGCCUGGAGGUCUUUGACAAUUUGUUCGAGGUCC
Molecule: long non-coding RNA, 294 nt
Filed under: Lathyrus oleraceus (garden pea)
Lineage: Eukaryota; Viridiplantae; Streptophyta; Magnoliopsida; Fabales; Fabaceae
Description: Pisum sativum (pea) long non-coding RNA (PSAT_LNC023808)
Source: RNAcentral